RNAcentral lists this ribosomal RNA (650 nucleotides) under uncultured bacterium. RNAcentral's name for it is "bacterial SSU rRNA". It matches the Rfam family "Bacterial small subunit ribosomal RNA", at positions 72 to 720 of the family's 1533-position model. The record is from RNAcentral.
GGCGACGUCUCGGAGCUGACGAGUGGCGACGGGUGAGUAAUACAUCGGAACGUGCCCAGUCGUGGGGGAUAACUACUCGAAAGAGUAGCUAAUACCGCAUACGAUCUGAGGAUGAAAGCGGGGGACCUUCGGGCCUCGCGCGAUUGGAGCGGCCGAUGGCAGAUUAGGUAGUUGGUGGGAUAAAAGCUUACCAAGCCGACGAUCUGUAGCUGGUCUGAGAGGACGACCAGCCACACUGGGACUGAGACACGGCCCAGACUCCUACGGGAGGCAGCAGUGGGGAAUUUUGGACAAUGGGCGAAAGCCUGAUCCAGCAAUGCCGCGUGCAGGAUGAAGGCCUUCGGGUUGUAAACUGCUUUUGUACGGAACGAAAAAGCUUCUCCUAAUACGAGAGGCCCAUGACGGUACCGUAAGAAUAAGCACCGGCUAACUACGUGCCAGCAGCCGCGGUAAUACGUAGGGUGCGAGCGUUAAUCGGAAUUACUGGGCGUAAAGCGUGCGCAGGCGGUUAUGUAAGACAGAUGUGAAAUCCCCGGGCUCAACCUGGGAACUGCAUUUGUGACUGCAUGGCUAGAGUACGGUAGAGGGGGAUGGAAUUCCGCGUGUAGCAGUGAAAUGCGUAGAUAUGCGGAGGAACACCGAUGGCGAAG